AUUGUACAGACUAGCCAUGCACGUCUAAGUACAAACUAAAUGAUGGUGAAACUGCAAAUGGCUCAUUACAACGGUUAUGAUGUACCCGGGAGUUCCGAUGGAUAUUUCCAGUAACACUAGAACUAAUACAUGUCCCUGCGUUUAUUAGUUUCGCACAGUCCGUCGCUGAGUCAUGGUAAACAGUUGAUCGACUCGACGUCCCGGAACAGUUUCCGCCCCAUCAGCUUCGAUGGUUGGGUAUUGGCCUACCAUUGCAACAACGGGUAACGAGGAAUUAGGGUUUGAUUUCGGAGAGGGAGCCUGAGAAACGGCUACCACAUCUACGGAUGGCAGCAGGCGCGCAAAUUACCCAAUGCAGACACUGUGAGGUAGUGACGAGAAAUAAUAAAGCGGGACUUCUGUUUCGCUAUUAUAAUGAGGAAUAACCAAAGGUCAUUCCGAUUAGCAACUGAUGGGAAAGUCUGGUGCCAGCAGCCGCGGUAAUACCAGCGUCAGUAGCA
This 500-nucleotide ribosomal RNA is filed under the name uncultured Myrionecta. RNAcentral's name for it is "SSU rRNA". It matches the Rfam family "Eukaryotic small subunit ribosomal RNA", at positions 34 to 598 of the family's 1831-position model. The record is from RNAcentral. Lineage: Eukaryota; Ciliophora; Litostomatea; Cyclotrichida; Mesodiniidae.